RNAcentral lists this ribosomal RNA (433 nucleotides) under uncultured bacterium. RNAcentral describes it as "partial 16S ribosomal RNA". It matches the Rfam family "Bacterial small subunit ribosomal RNA", at positions 29 to 507 of the family's 1533-position model. The record is from RNAcentral.
AACGAACGCUGGCGGCAUGCCUAACACAUGCAAGUCGAACGAGACCUUCGGGUCUAGUGGCGCACGGGUGCGUAACGCGUGGGAACCUGCCCUUAGGUUCGGAAUAACUCAGAGAAAUUUGAGCUAAUACCGGAUAAUGUCUUCGGACCAAAGAUUUAUCGCCUUUGGAUGGGCCCGCGUAGGAUUAGCUUGUUGGUGGGGUAAUGGCCUACCGAGGCGACGAUCCUUAGCUGGUCUGAGAGGAUGAUCAGCCACACUGGGACUGAGACACGGCCCAGACUACUACGGGAGGCAGCAGUGGGGAAUAUUGGACAAUGGGCGAAAGCCUGAUCCAGCAAUGCCGCGUGAGUGAUGAAGGCCUUAGGGUUGUAAAGCUCUUUUACCAGGGAUGAUAAUGACAGUACCUGGAGAAUAAGCUCCGGCUAACUCCGUG